GUAUCGGAACGUGCCCAGUCGUGGGGGAUAACGCAGCGAAAGCUGCGCUAAUACCGCAUACGAUCUAUGGAUGAAAGCGGGGGACCGUAAGGCCUCGCGCGAUUGGAGCGGCCGAUAUCAGAUUAGGUAGUUGGUGGGGUAAAGGCUCACCAAGCCAACGAUCUGUAGCUGGUCUGAGAGGACGACCAGCCACACUGGGACUGAGACACGGCCCAGACUCCUACGGGAGGCAGCAGUGGGGAAUUUUGGACAAUGGGCGCAAGCCUGAUCCAGCAAUGCCGCGUGCAGGAAGAAGGCCUUCGGGUUGUAAACUGCUUUUGUACGGAACGAAACGGUCCUGGUUAAUACCUGGGGCUAAUGACGGUACCGUAAGAAUAAGCACCGGCUAACUACGUGCCAGC
Molecule: ribosomal RNA, 401 nt
Filed under: bacterium enrichment culture clone enrichment3B
Lineage: Bacteria
Description: bacterial SSU rRNA
Rfam family: Bacterial small subunit ribosomal RNA
Source: RNAcentral